AGAGCGAGGCUACUAUGCUAUCAGAAGCACGGAGCCUUCCGUGCUUCCAGCUCGUUUUCGAUGUUGCGACUUUCGAAUCGUCGAUCGGCUCCGUUAAACUUGAUCUAGAGUAUUUGGAGUACCUAGAAAAUAAAUUUUAUUAUUUUUCGAUAUCAUUUGCCUAGUGAUCGAAUGAGCUCAAAAUCAACAAAUUUCAAUGGCCGUAGUGAGCCGUUUGCAAGUUUAACGAUGUAGAAAUAUCCAAAUCACGUGAAAUUUUAAUAGAAAAUUCUUUAUACUAUAUAAAACAAGAUCAAUAUCUUUGAUUUAAAAUUUUAAUGUCAUACUAUUACAUUUUGUAAGAUUUUUAUUUUCAGCCGUUGAUUUUGAGCCCCUUCGUUCACUAGGCAAAUGAUAUCGUAAAAUCAUAAAAUUUAUUUUCUAUAUACUUCAAAUACUCUAGAUCAAGUUUAACGGAGCCGAUCGACAAUUCGAAAGUCGCAACAUCGAAAACGAGCUGGAAGCACAGAAGGCUCCGUGCUUUCGAUAGCAUAGUAGCCUCACUCUAAUUUUAAAU
Molecule: long non-coding RNA, 556 nt
Filed under: Ananas comosus (pineapple)
Lineage: Eukaryota; Viridiplantae; Streptophyta; Magnoliopsida; Poales; Bromeliaceae
Description: long non-coding RNA (ACOM_LNC018973)
Source: RNAcentral